CCUACGGGUGGCAGCAGUGAGGAAUAUUGGUCAAUGGCCGCAAGUCUGAACCAGCCAAGUCGCGUGCAGGAUGACUGCCCUAUGGGUUGUAAACCUCUUUUGUACGGGGGUAAAGCUCGCCACGUGUGUCUGUUUGCAAGUACCGCACGAAUAAGGAUCGGCUAACUCCGUGCCAGCAGCCGCGGUAAUACGGAGGAUCCGAGCGUUAUCCGGAUUUAUUGGGUUUAAAGGGUGCGUAGGCGGUUUUAUAAGUUCGCGGUGAAAUGUCGUGGCUCAACCCCGAAACUGCGUCGCAAACUGUUGGACUAGAGUGUGCGUGAGGUAGGCGGAAGGCGUGGUGUAGCGGUGAAAUGCUUAGAUAUCACGCAGAACACCGAUUGCGAAGGCAGCUUACCGGAGCGCAACUGACGCUGAGGCACGAAAGCGUGGGUAUCGAACAGGAUUAGAUACCCGUGUAGUC
Molecule: ribosomal RNA, 460 nt
Filed under: uncultured bacterium
Lineage: Bacteria
Description: partial 16S ribosomal RNA
Rfam family: Bacterial small subunit ribosomal RNA
Source: RNAcentral